Molecule: ribosomal RNA, 254 nt
Filed under: uncultured bacterium
Lineage: Bacteria
Description: partial 16S ribosomal RNA
Rfam family: Bacterial small subunit ribosomal RNA
Source: RNAcentral
CGUAUGGUGCAAGCGUUAUCCGGAUUUACUGGGUGCAAAGGGAGCGCAGGCGGUGCGGCAAGUCUGAUGUGAAAGCCCGGGGCUCAACCCCGGUACUGCAUUGGAAACUGUCGUACUAGAGUGUCGGAGGGGUAAGUGGAAUUCCUAGUGUAGCGGUGAAAUGCGUAGAUAUUAGGAGGAACACCAGUGGCGAAGGCGGCUUACUGGACGAUAACUGACGCUGAGGCUCGAAAGCGUGGGGAGCAAACAGGAUU